This 371-nucleotide ribosomal RNA is filed under the name uncultured organism. Its description in RNAcentral is "partial 16S ribosomal RNA". It matches the Rfam family "Bacterial small subunit ribosomal RNA", at positions 527 to 896 of the family's 1533-position model. The record is from RNAcentral.
AGAGGGUGCAAGCGUUAAUCGGAAUUACUGGGCGUAAAGGGCACGUAGGUGGAUUAUUAAGUCGGAUGUGAAAUCCCUGAGCUUAACUUAGGCAUUGCAUACGAUACUGAUAGUCUAGAGUAUGGGAGAGGGAAGUGGAAUUUCCGGUGUAGCGGUGAAAUGCGUAGAUAUCGGAAGGAACAUCAGUUGCGAAGGCGGCUUCCUGGCCUAAUACUGACACUGAGGUGCGAAAGCGUGGGGGUAGCGAACAGGAUUAGAUACCCUGGUAGUCCACGCUGUAAACCGAUGAGAACUAGCCGUUGGGACCUUAAGGUCUUAGUGGCGUAGCUAACGCGCUAAGUUCUCCGCCUGGGAGUACGGCCGCAAGGCUA